RNAcentral lists this ribosomal RNA (582 nucleotides) under uncultured bacterium. Its description in RNAcentral is "bacterial SSU rRNA". It matches the Rfam family "Bacterial small subunit ribosomal RNA", at positions 338 to 913 of the family's 1533-position model. The record is from RNAcentral.
CCUACGGGAGGCAGCAGUGGGGAAUUUUGGACAAUGGGCGCAAGCCUGAUCCAGCAAUGCCGCGUGAGUGAAGAAGGCCUUCGGGUUGUAAAGCUCUUUUGUCAGGGAAGAAACGGUGAGGGCUAAUAUCUCUUGCUAAUGACGGUACCUGAAGAAUAAGCACCGGCUAACUACGUGCCAGCAGCCGCGGUAAUACGUAGGGUGCAAGCGUUAAUCGGAAUUACUGGGCGUAAAGCGUGCGCAGGCGGUUUUGUAAGUCUGUCGUGAAAUCCCCGGGCUCAACCUGGGAAUUGCGAUGGAGACUGCAAGGCUAGAAUCUGGCAGAGGGGGGUAGAAUUCCACGUGUAGCAGUGAAAUGCGUAGAGAUGUGGAGGAACACCGAUGGCGAAGGCAGCCCCCUGGGUCAAGAUUGACGCUCAUGCACGAAAGCGUGGGGAGCAAACAGGAUUAGAUACCCUGGUAGUCCACGCCCUAAACGAUGUCUACUAGUUGUCGGGUUUUAAUUAACUUGGUAACGCAGCUAACGCGUGAAGUAGACCGCCUGGGGAGUACGGUCGCAAGNUUAAAACUCAAAUGAAUUGA